GCUUUUCUCAAGCUCGGCUUCUCCUGGUUUUCACGUGCACACCAGCUGCUAGGAAAUGAUAUAUCAGUUUUUGCUGUAAGCUGCAGCUUUUAUUACCGAGGUGCUCCUGCUGCCUUUUCUGAGAAUUCCAGGUCCCCCACACUGAAACUACUGAUGCUGUACUGGGGCAUUUGAUUCGUUUUCCUUUUUUAUUUUUAAGCAGUAUCUGCUAACAUCCAAAUUAUUCUCGGCUUCCUGAAACACUCCCUAUCAUAAAGAGUGAUUCAAGAGUGUGCGUUUGUGGUAAUUAACCCAUCAUGAAAGUUGCAAUGUCAGGAAAUAUAUGGUUCUCCACACUUUUUCCCCUUCUCUUUCACUCUCUUUUUUUUUUUUUUUUUUUCUAACUACUUGUCUAUUUAUAGAAAUACGUCUUGCCCUUUACUUAAGAGGCAGUGACUUGGAGAAGCAGAUAUUUAGAGGAAGUCCAUUUGCUUGACAAAAACAUCUAUUACUUUUAUCACCAUUGGAGACCGAAAAAGAAUCAAUUACAAUACUUCACUUGGGAAUGACUAAUUGAAUUGUGAAACAUACUGAUGUUCUGAAGUCACCGAGGAAAAGCACAUGGUUCAUCACUGAAGGAGCUCCAGGAAGGAAGGGGUGACAGACACUUCCAAAUCAAAAGAAAACUACAACAUCCAUCCUUCCCGUUCCCCUUGAAAACUGACACCUUUGCAGCAAAGGAUGUAACAGCCAUGAUACCACAGAAAAAGAAGGCUGGUACGCAAAGCAGACAGUUCACUGAGGUUAAAGAUAUUGAUAAUAAUGAUGAGAAAGGAAAGAAGGAAAUCAUAAGAAAAAUAAACUGAUAUCAACCUAUGACUGCACCCAAACCAUCAAGAUAUUUUCAUGAUCAUGCUGUAAAUACUUGGAUUUCUUCCUCACUUCACCCUCAUGAAAGCACAUGCACUCACACACAUUCACACAACUGUAUCACACAGUAACAGGCAAUAGUCAUGUGCAGUGACCAGUGGAGUAUUUAGACUACACCCUACAUACUUAUGCUGGUCAAGAUGAAGACAAAAGUACAGUUCUCUGAACUGUAUCUUUUUACCAGACCACAGCUAAACAAAAGGGAAUUCAGCAUAAGAAGGGCAGAUCAGCAUUUCAGAGGGAACAUGACAACUAUAAAUGUUUAUACUAAAGAAGAAGAAAUCAACCGAGGAAAACCCUCUUUACCAAGACAAGCAUCUCACAUUUCUGAGUAGCACCUUGUCAGAAUUCAUGUUGUGCUUUUAUCUGCCAGCCCCAGCUAUCAAAAUUAUCCCCAGGUCAUUCAAACGUGCCUGGAGCUGCAUACCUGUGUUUUCUUUGUAUGGAAACCAAGAAUGGGAAAGAAGAGCAAUCAGGUCUUAACAAGGCCAAGGCACACACUUGAGAUGGGGAUCAGACAAAGUCUAGACAGAUUCCUUAGCUGGGUUUUGUGUUGUGUUUUUUUGUUGUUUAUUUUAAUUGCAGUUGUUGUUUUUCCUUCCCCCCCACAUUCCUUAAUACUAGCCAUUUGGUCUUUAUAAAACAUCCAAAAUGUGUAUGUAUUUAUAUUGUAUGUGUGAAAUAUAAAAAUUAUAUAUUCUGCUAAAGUAUUCCAUUCUGAGUGUUACUGUAUUGUAUACAGCGUCUUUUCCUGUUUUAUAUUAUUUAAAGAUGUACAUUAAAAACAGUUCAUAAAGACUCAUUGGU
Long non-coding RNA from Gallus gallus (chicken), 1716 nucleotides. Lineage: Eukaryota; Metazoa; Chordata; Aves; Galliformes; Phasianidae. The record is from Ensembl.